CGGCGGGCUGCCUCAGACGACGCUGCCCUCUGUGCACUAGCAGGCGGCCGGGCAGCACGAAGGACCGUGCAGGGGGCGGGGGCGGGGGACUGGCCCGCGUUCUCCGGCCACGGGCGGGCACCGGACAAGGCGCCUGAAGCCUCCCUCCUUAUCCCGAGCGGGAGGAGGGACGGCCACAGUGCGGCCCGAAAGCGGCGCCUGCACCGCCACCUCCGUCACCGGCCUGAUCCAGGGUCUGCGGCCCCCCGCCGCCUGGCAGGCCCCCGGCGACCCUGGUCCGCUGGCGUCCCCGCAGGAGGUUCCCCGCGGCGCGCGCACGGCGGGCGCUGCCUGGCCUUCGGAGGGGCGUCCCGAAAAGGGCCCUGGACGACGAGCAAGAGACCAAUGACAAACAUUUCCCAAACUGGCCCUAGCCUGUGGACCAGACCUUGACCAGCAGCACUUCUGGGCAGUGUUUGUCCCUGGGGGCGAAGAGGACUGAUGGUCAGAGCCGACCCUUAUUCCACUCUUACUCUCUGGCACAGCACCCUCGUGAAAAAUGAGACAUCUGACCCACCUUCGGACUCUGCCUGGACCGCAGACCCCACAGGCAGGUAGUAGAUGAUGGCGAUGGAGACUUGCGCCCUGGAGCCAGACUGCAGCCUGGCUUUGCCUCUUUCUGUCUCAGUGAUCUCAGUCAUUUACUGAUAUUUUAAAAGUCCUCAUCAGUAGGUAAAUCUUACCUGUGGAACUAGUAGAACAUUAGAUAUUCUCAAAGUAUGAAAAGACACAACUUUUGAACUAAAUUCACCUGCUUGUCAAUGGUUGGAUUUUACACCAUCUCUGGAGAGAAUUUGUCAUCAUCUUGACAUCAAAACCAUUGGACACGCCCACCAGACUUAGAAGAUUUUUUAAAGUUGCUUCUGGUUUAACUUGUUUCUCUAAGAAAAAUGACAACAGCAAAAACCAUGAAACAGUAUAUUAAAGAUUACAGUAAUUUUUAACCCUCAAACAUGUGAAGAGUAUUUUCCACAAGGUAAGGUAAAAACUGGUCUUUGUUUAUUUAAAAUAUAGAAUCUUUGUGUGGACUACAUGAAGUUCUUCUCAUGUAGGAUCUCAUUAGCCUCAUAAGCCCCAUGAGGAAGGUGUUAUGCUCUGUAUUUUAUUGAUGAUGCAGAAACAUGCACAGAGAGGUUGAAUGACUUGUCAAAGACCACACAGCCCUCUUAUCCCAUCCAUGGAACCUCACCAGACUCGAUAAGCAUAUGUGUAUACACGUCCCCCUUGGCCCACCUGUCAGCGAUGGAGGGUGACACAUGUCACAGGAGCCUACCUCUUGUGGCUACCUUGUGGUUGCUGACAGCCUGGGCCCCACACCUCAGCCCAACAUGUGUCCUGAUCAGGGAGCCGAUCUGAACGGAAUCAGAAGCACCUGUCAUUGGCACCCUCAUAUUUCCACAACGUGGAGGACCCCAGUCCUGCAGCAGCACCCCGAGCUGCCAGCCUCUGGCACGUGCCUGUGAUGCUCUGGGGAGUGCAUCUGUGGGACUACUUAGCCCAAAGUAUCGUUUCCCACAAGUUGGAACUUCAUGGACCAGGAAAACUGCAGUUUUCCAACUUUUCCUUUUUUUCUCAAAAGGACAUUUCAUACUUGAUACAUUUCAUAUUUAACAGCCCAUCCCCCCAAAGUGAGAAGGCAUACAUUCAGAGGCAUAUCAUUUUAAAAUUAUAAUUUUAAAAACUGUCUUCAUGGGAAAAGCGGCACACUGUCAUUUUUGUCAUUCUGCCGUGGACCAGUGUGGUAGGUAUGAGGGCCACUUCCUACUCCCCGGAACCUGUGAGUAUGCUCCCUGACGUGGCAAAAGGGAGCUGAGGCAGCCGGUGGAAUUAAGGCUGCUCACGAGCAGACUGUCAGAUGGGGAGAUUAUCGUCGGUCAUGCAGAUGGGCCCAGUGGAAUCACGAGUCCAGCGUGAUCAUCAGUGGAAGGAGGAGGCAGGAGAGGACGUUGGGGUGGCGUGAUGUGAGCAGCACUCCACCACUGUUGCAGCUGUGAAGACAGAGGGAGAAAGAGGGCAGCCCCUAGAAGCUGGGAAAGGGAGUGGACUCUCCACAGAGCCUCCAGAAAGGAGCACAGCCCCGCCAACACCUCACCUUAGCCCAGGAAGACUUCGGACCUACAGAACUGCAAGAUAAUACACUUGUGUUGUUUCUAGCCACUAAGUUUGUGGUAAUUUGUUACCGUGGCAAUAGAACUGGUACAACCAGGGAAACUUCAUCCUGACCUUACUGAGGUCUGGGCCCCCAGCUUUCGGAACUCAUCCUAAGAAGAGCCCGUCAGAAUUUCCCAUUCUGCAGAAGGACAUUUUAUGUGACUAAGAUGAUGUAUACAAGGCACUCCACCCAGUGCCUGUCACGUAAAGCCAUUCAGGAGCUGGUAACACCCAGGCCCCAUCUACACCCUCUUUCUGAGGUCACAGCCUCAAACAUCUGAGGGCCAGACAGAUGACAUCCAUAGCAGAGGCAGGUAGGGACAGAUGAAUUGAAGGGCACCUGCAAGUCUAGAGGUGGCAGCUUUCCCCAGUCAUGGCCACAAAGGGGCUGCCCGCAGUUGACAGGUCUCCCACGUUUAAGCUAUUGGCAACUAAGUCAAUUUAAAUACAUACACACACACACCCCUGCCCUGUGUCGGCCGAAGGAAACAGCGCUGUGUCUGGGGGCGAGGGGAUGCCCGCAGGCUGCCAGGAUGCAACCUCAGUUCUCUGUCUAAGGCUAUGACUGAGGGGUCCUACCAAGGCCCCAGAGAGAAGUGAAGACCACAGGGCAGGAGGAAGUAGCACUGUGUCUGGUCCUCCAUCGAGGCAUCCUCCCUGCAUGGCACACCGAGAAACCCUUUGCAGCAUGGACCCACCUGUCCUGCAUUCCUUAUGUUUUCCAAAGCCCACGCAGGCCCAUGUCCCUUUGUCACCAGCGUAUCAAGACCAAGAUGUAAGAAGGCGAGAAGGUAGAUGAAGGGAUCCACUCACCCAUCUAACGUUAUCGCGCCCCUGCUGCACUUCCUGAACCACAACAGACCUUGCCAGAAGGGCAGGAAGCAGCCUCGGCGGGCCCAGGUGAAGGGGAGCAGGCUGGUGGAGCAGCACCCACCUGGAGGGUCGGGGAAACGCCAGCACGAGCCCGAGGGUAGACAGGUUGCCUGCAAGUAUCACUAGGAACACAGUAGGUGGUUGAUAAAUGAUGCUGUCACUAUUAAUAAUAGCAUUACUUUCUUUCUGUCAUUGUUGUUGUGGUUAUUUGUCAACUAAAGCAACUGAUCAGGUUCAUUUUUAAAGAAGGUCUCUCUGGGGCUAAGACAGAAGAACCUGGAGGCCAGAGGAGUUGGAUGAACUUUGUUGGAGAACAAAGAGGAGGCUGCUGGACACACCCCCAGAUCUCUGCAUGCACAGAGCGCUCCGUCAUUCCACAGACAUGCACCCACCUUCCCAAUUCCCUAGUCUUGCAGCCGGGAGAGUGAGGCUUUGGGAAGUCCAGUGAUGGACUCAAACUUGAAAAGCCAGAAAGUGCUGAAGGCAGGAGAUGAUCCCCGGUUUUCACACAGAUGGAAGAUAGGGUAAUUUCUUUGUACCAGAAACCAGAAUAGUUUGUUUCAUGGAAAAAUCAGCAUACUUGUCGGAUCCCUGUGAAGCCUGAAUUUGGGUUAAAAUCCCAGAUCCUCCAAUGUGACAUUAGCAGGGUAAGGAGUGACUGCAGUAACAAACAGUCCCCAGCUGUCAGUGGUUUAACACAAAAACAGCUUUUUCUUGAUUACAUCUCAGCUCAGUAUGGGGCAGCGAGGGGAUGACUCUCCUCCACACAGCCAUUCAGGGACCCAGACCCCUUUCUUCUUGUGCCUUGCCCUCCUCAAAGUUCUUGGAGUGUCUCCAUCUGUCCAGUGGAGGGGGAAAGGGCAAAGAUCAUGUGGAGGAGGGGUAUUUGUAGGGGGAGCAGUAAUUAAACUUUUUAUUUUGAGACAAUUGUAGAUUUAUAUGAAGUUGUAAGAAAUAAUACAGAAAGAUCCUGUGGACCCUUCACUCAGUUUCCCCCAAUGGUAACAUCUUGCAAAGUUUUACUACGAUAUCACAGCCAAUGCUGACACAGAUAUAGUCAGGAGAGAGAACAGGGCCAUCACCACAAGGAUCCCUCAGGUUGCCCCUUUAUAGCCACACUUGCUUCCUUCUUAAGCCCCGGCAACCACUAAUCUGUUCUCCAUUUCUAUAGUCAUUUCAAUAAUAUUAUAUAUAUGUGUAAUCAUACAUCAUAUAACUUUUUGAGAUUAUUUUCACUCAGCAUAAUUUUCUGGAGGUUCUUCCAGGUCGUUACAUGUAGCAAUAGUUUGUUCUUUUUUGUUCCUGAAUAGUAUGCUGUGGUGUGGCUGGACCACGGUUGUUUAGCCAUUCACCCACUGAAGGAGACCUGGGUUGUUUCCAGUUUUGGGCUACUAUGAAUAAAGCUGCUGUAAACAUUUUUAUAGAGGUCUUUGUGUGAACACAAGUCUUCAUUUCUCUAAGAUAAGUGCUCAGGAGCGUAACCGCUGGGGUGGAAGAGAGUUGCAUGUUUUGUCGUUUUAACUGCCAAACUGUUUCCCAGUAUGGCCUACCAUUGGACACGCCCACCAGCAAUGUG
This is a long non-coding RNA of Equus asinus (donkey), 4639 nucleotides long. The record is from Ensembl. NCBI's taxonomy places the organism in Eukaryota, Metazoa, Chordata, Mammalia, Perissodactyla, Equidae.